GAUGAACGCUGGCGGCGUGCCUAAUACAUGCAAUUCGAGCGAACAGAUAAGGAGCUUGCUCCUUUGACGUUAGCGGCGGACGGGUGAGUAACACGUGGGUAACCUACCUAUAAGACUGGGAUAACUUCGGGAAACCGGAGCUAAUACCGGAUAACAUUUGGAACCGCAUGGUUCUAAAGUGAAAGAUGGUUUUGCUAUCACUUAUAGAUGGACCCGCGCCGUAUUAGCUAGUUGGUAAGGUAACGGCUUACCAAGGCAACGAUACGUAGCCGACCUGAGAGGGUGAUCGGCCACACUGGAACUGAGACACGGUCCAGACUCCUACGGGAGGCAGCAGUAGGGAAUCUUCCGCAAUGGGCGAAAGCCUGACGGAGCAACGCCGCGUGAGUGAUGAAGGGUUUCGGCUCGUAAAACUCUGUUAUUAGGGAAGAACAAACGUGUAAGUAACUGUGCACGUCUUGACGGUACCUAAUCAGAAAGCCACGGCUAACUACGUG
This 497-nucleotide ribosomal RNA is filed under the name uncultured bacterium. Its description in RNAcentral is "partial 16S ribosomal RNA". It matches the Rfam family "Bacterial small subunit ribosomal RNA", at positions 28 to 507 of the family's 1533-position model. The record is from RNAcentral.